UACGGAGGGUGCAAGCGUUAUCCGGAUUUACUGGGUUUAAAGGGUGCGUAGGUGGAUAAUUAAGUCAGUGGUGAAAUCUUCAGGCUUAACCUGGAAACUGCCAUUAAUACUAUUUAUCUUGAAUACUUUGGAGGUAAGCGGAAUAUGUCAUGUAGCGGUGAAAUGCUUAGAUAUGACAUAGAACACCAAUUGCGAAGGCAGCUUACUACACAGUAAUUGACACUGAGGCACGAAAGCGUGGGGAUCAAACAGG
RNAcentral lists this ribosomal RNA (253 nucleotides) under uncultured bacterium. RNAcentral's name for it is "partial 16S ribosomal RNA". It matches the Rfam family "Bacterial small subunit ribosomal RNA", at positions 524 to 776 of the family's 1533-position model. The record is from RNAcentral.